Cannabis sativa is the source of this 1154-nucleotide long non-coding RNA. RefSeq lists it as uncharacterized. Lineage: Eukaryota; Viridiplantae; Streptophyta; Magnoliopsida; Rosales; Cannabaceae. The record is from RefSeq and is a predicted model, not a curated record. The transcript has 2 exons.
GGCAACAGGGUGCUUGAAACUGAAAAUGUAAAGGAAAAACUAAAGGGUAUAAGUCUUGAAACUGAAAUCAAGUUUCUAGAGAAACUUGGUACAUAAAAAGUCUUUUCUAACUUUAAAAUAAAACCCCUGCUUAAAAUUGAAUUGCAUGUUCCAAUAGCUUCCACUCGUGAGCCCAUCUUGUUUCCAAAUAAGAUGCUUUGGUCACUUGCCACUAGCUUCCUUAAGUUUUGAAUAUCCUGCAAGGAAUUUGUUAUGUGAAUUAUUGAAUCGGAAUCAAUCCACCAUGUGUUAAGAUUAACAUUAGCCAUAUUAAAUUCAUAACAUACUAAAAAAAUUGGAUUACCUUUGUCGUCCAUCUAUUUCUUGAACUGGCUGCACUCCUUUUUCGCAUCUCCCUUUUGUUUACAAAAGAAAUUGAUGGAAUCUUUCUUUAUGGCAGCCUUGGGAGCUAUGGGCUUUUUUCCUUUGUUCUUCUUGAAUGGUUUGCGUUUCUUGGGUUGAGUGGUCAGGUGAACACUUUCUCCUUGCUCUUGUAGGAGCCUGGCUACCUCUUGAGCACACAUGGUCAUCAAUUCAUUGAUGCUCCAUUUUUCCUUAUGUGUGUUGUAGGAAAUUUUGAAAGGCCCAUAUUGUGGAGGAAGAUUGUGAAGGAUGUAAUGAACCAGGAAGGUAUCAGGAAUGAUAACAUCGAGCUUCUUCAAAUGAGCAGUAAUAUCCCUCAUCUUUGAAAUGUGUUCUCGAACUCCUUUAACACUGGUGGCUCCACCGAUCUACGCAUUCCCAAAGGAAUCCUGGACAUAAUGAACAUGAUGCAAAGACGAUUGGAUUACUCCCACUUUUCACGCAGUGCAAUCUCAGCAGCAGUGCUAGCUUCAAUGAUAGCAGCUGAUUCGUCUUUCCUUAUUGCAUAGUCCAUGUCAGUGCAAGCAAGGUGGAGAAGAACUUGUUCCUUCCAAAUUUUGAAGUUGUCACUCCUAAGCUCAGGGAUUUCACUAGUGAUUUCAGCGUAUUUAGAGGUAGAUGAAAUAGCUGCAAGAAUAAGAUUACAAUUUAGAUGUUAAAAAAAUGAGGCUUUAAUGAAUUCAUGCUUUACCAAUGUAGAAACAUGAUGAAGAUGAAAAUUUUAUUAAAUCUAAAAUUGUUUGUGGGCUAAA